RNAcentral lists this long non-coding RNA (3064 nucleotides) under Sus scrofa (pig). Its description in RNAcentral is "lncRNA (ENSSSCG00000053818.1)". The record is from RNAcentral. Lineage: Eukaryota; Metazoa; Chordata; Mammalia; Artiodactyla; Suidae.
UUUUUGCUGAGCUAGGAGGAUGUGCAUAUUUGCCACAGAUUGACCCAUUUUAAACCCUUUAACAGCCUGGAGGAAUCCCUGUUUGUCAUUUAUUCAGACCAGGCAUGCGCUCCCAUUCGUGAACAUUGCCAACAAAUGUGUCACUUCCCAUUUCCUUAAAAAGCUCCCAAACUCGUGCCCAGUUUAUAGCCUUGCUUCAAUUCUGCUGGAGGAGUUUCACUGUGGCAGAUUUAGGCUGAGGAAAUUGCUAAAUUGCUUUAAGGUGAAGAAAAUCUUCUGAUGUAUUUAAACUCGAACUGAAUCUUCAGGAAUCUGAAUUGUGAGUUACGAUGCUCAAUUCAAUUCAGCAAGCUUUUAGUAAGCACCCAUUCUGAACCAUGUGCUGAGCCCAACCCUUGGUGGGAGAAGGGUAGCCAGAAGGGGUAAGAUGUGGUUUCUGCUUUGUGAAGCCAGAGGCAGAGAUGAUGAGCCAGGGAAGGGGAGUGCGAAGAGAGGAAAAUUCUAUGAACGGAAAUAACCCAUCUCAAGGUUUAGUGUGGUACAGGGCAAUAGAGUAGUCAGGGGUGAAGGGGCCUCUUUUAAAACCAUCUUGGAUGGAGUUCCCAUCAUGGCUCAGUGGAAAAGAUUCUAUCGUCCAUGAGGACGCAGGUUCGAUCCUUGGCCUCACUCAGUGGGUUCAGGAUCUGGCGUUGCUGUGGCGAAUACUAAUCUAUGGUGGGAAAAAAACCAGAAGAGCAGUUGUCUUUAGUGGGAGAAGGUAGGAAUUGACUGUGAAGAUUAUAAGGGAACAUUCAGAGUUCCCGUCGUGGUACGGUGGAAAUGAAUCCCACUAGGAACCAUGAGGUUGGGGGUUCGAUCCCUGGCCUCACUCAGUGGGUUAAAGAGCUGGCGUUGCCAUGAGCACUGGUAUAGGUCACGGAUGUGGCUCGGAUCCUGCAUUGCUGUGACUGUAGUGUAGGCCAGCAGCUACAGCUCCAAUUCGACCCCUAGCCUGGGAAUCUCCAUGGGUAUGCCAUGGGUAUGGCCCUAAAAAGACCAAAAACAACAACAACAAACCUCAAGGUCACAGCACAAGCCAGAGAAAGGGACCCUUUUAACAUAUCCCAUCUGAGGGGCGUGGUCUCCCUUAGGAUCUCAGUGUCAUGGAGAUCUGAAGAUUCAACUCAGAAACAGUAAUUACAUGAAGCCCCCCCCCAUCCUUCCAUACUGCUAUCGCACGCUUCUCUUCCUACAGCUCCAAUUCAGGUUGUACACAUAAUGCCAUCAUUUUCUGCUGAUGUAUCAUGUCCGUAGUGCUUGGAAUACGGUUCUCUUGAAGAUAUAGAGCCAGCCACUGGCAGCAGCAAAUGGUCCCUCCCCAGGGCACUGUGAAAUGUAGUUACCUAUUUGUUGAGACAAUAUAUUACUGACUGUCCUUAACUGCACCGAGAGACCUGCAAACCCAUCCCCAGCUGGCUUAUUUUUCUGUUGAACAAGACAGAAGUGAAACAUGGUAUAAUGCAGAAGAGGAACUCCCUUCUUUGUCUAAAUGGCUCCAGAAGGUGAUUGUUGGGGAGUUUUUCUUGGAACCCCCCCCCCCCCCGGCCAGGUAGCAAUGGACUUGACCUCCAGAGGUCUUAGCAUGAAGAUCCACCUUGACACGUUGGUAUAAUUCAGAUUAAAUUACUGCUGAGCCAUAUGAUCUGUGAAAGAAAGUCCAAAAUAUUUCUAUGUUUUCAUUCAUUAUGAUAAGUCAGAGUUCCUUUUUGGAAAUAUCCAUAUUCUUUCAAGAAACUUUUUUCUCCAUUUUUUAUGUCUCUACCCUGCCCAUCUGCUCAGUUGGCCUCUUGGGAAGGCCAGUCCUGUGGGUGUGCUGACAUGUUGCUUAUAACAGAGGGAGCACUUAAGCCUCCUCUCAGGAAGUACCCACCUCUCUGUCUCCUGGACCAGACUGUGAACUCAUCCAGGCCUGGAACAGUGUUUCUUUCAGAAUGGGUGCUACAGGUCCUGGCUCAUGGCAGGGGGUGGGGGAGACUCUGCUGAAUGAGUCUUUUGCUUUAGAGUCUUAACAGCCUAGGCAAGUGGAUAGUUUGGCAGCCAAGGCUAAUGGAAAGGGAAAAUGAAUGGGGAUCAUGCAGGACUGGAGCCUAGGAGCAUCAUAUGGGCUGGGAGGAACCCUUGGAGAGAAAUCAAGGUCUACUAGAUAAUGAUUGGGGGUAAACUUACCUUUGGCUGGCACAGUUAUCUGUCUGUUUAGAGGAGGUGGGGGUCCGGUGGGUGGGGCAUAAGGACAGAAGGUUCUGUGUGAUCAUAGACAUUUUGUUUCUGGGAGAAUAGACCAUUCAGAACAGGACCUUGCAGCUUGAAGUACUGGGGUCAGGACCAGCAUCCUGGCCCCCAUCCAGGCUAAUAGAUAUUAGCCAAGAAUGCAAGACAUGGGAAUUGAGGCAUCACUUGUAUCGGACACAGAAAGACUCUGACCUGAUGGACACGGGGUGUUCAGUGCUCUCUUCAGGUGCUAAAUCUUUGGCCACAAGAGUAAGCCUAGGUCCUCUUCUCAGGUGGCGCUGUGGUUCCUGAUCCUAACAUGUUCGAGCCUCUAGGGGGAGCUCAAGACUCCACAUGGGAACUCCAGAGCGUAAAACCAACGGGUCAAAGGCAACAUCAUGUGUUUGGAUCACACUCUAAGGGGCAGAGUGUUCAGAGAAAAGAAGUUUAAAUUCUAUUUCCUUUUAGAUUGUUUCACUCUCAUUCACCAACACUCAGUGUUCUUGCUCUCUCCUUUGCUAUUAGAGACAAAAGGGGGGCAAAUGUCACAUCCCAUGUCCUAGUAGAGAUGCCUGCAUAGGAGGUCAGUGUCUCCACAGAGCAGGAAAGACAGAUGCUGAUAAAAGUGAUGACUCUGGUGACAGAGUCUUGCCCUGUGUAGCAAGUCUGAAGCCUAAGGAAUUUUAAAGGCAGCUAUUUUCAACAGUGCCCUGAAAAUGUACAUCUUAAACAGCAGAUCUAGCACAUGACCUAACACUGAAUCCAUUAAAAUGGGAACUGCGAGCUUAUUUCUAAAGCCUUUACUAAUGCUGCUUUG